Molecule: small RNA, 506 nt
Filed under: Pan troglodytes (chimpanzee)
Lineage: Eukaryota; Metazoa; Chordata; Mammalia; Primates; Hominidae
Description: processed transcript
Source: RNAcentral
GCUGCUGUUGCUGUUAUGGUUUUUACAGAGCUUACAGUUUUAAUAAGUUUUUCCUUGCCCUCCCUUUGUUUUUUCCCUUUAGUUUCUGUGUUUGAAGAACAUACGCACCUUCCUGAAAGUCUGCCACGAUAAAUUCGGAUUAAGGAACAGCGAGCUGUUUGACCCCUUUGACCUCUUCGAUGUGCGAGACUUCGGAAAGGAUCCUAGGAGGCUGUGAUUUCAAGACCUGAGUUCAAGCUCUGGGAGCGGCCUUGGCCAAUGAGUGGAUCCCUUGAUCUCCAUGCCAGUGGUGUGAGGACUUGGCUCUGGGAAGAGGGGCCUCUGGGUGGCUGUGGUGGCAGCAGCCCACGCCUGAGGACGCACUAGGAGCAGAGGAGGUGUGCUCAGGCCCUGCCAUUGUUCCUCAUUUGCCCCCAAGACAUUAAUUGUGUCUGUUGGAGCCUGACAAUUUGAUGUUUGCAGCAAAAAAGCCGAAUGAGACCAAGAAGGAGAAAAGAAAAAAAAAU